RNAcentral lists this long non-coding RNA (1063 nucleotides) under Sus scrofa (pig). RNAcentral describes it as "lncRNA (ENSSSCG00005013990.1)". The record is from RNAcentral. Lineage: Eukaryota; Metazoa; Chordata; Mammalia; Artiodactyla; Suidae.
UGCAGCCUGGAUCCCGUGUUACUGUGGCUGGCAGCUGCAGCUCCGAUUUGACUUGAACCCUAGCCUGGGAACUUCCAUAUGUGGCAGGUGUGGCCCUAAAAAGAAAGAAAAAAAAAGACUUCUCCAUCUUGUUCCUUUUUUGGGCUGCCUAAUAUUCCCCUCCACAGCUCCGCCAACUAUUAGGUUGUCUCCCAUUCUCACUUCUUAUUCACAAUGCUUUAGCGAACACUCUCUUACACACCUCUUUUGUGUGUGAGCAAAACUCUGUCUCAGACAGUGGUUUUCAAACUGCAGGGCAGGGCCUGUCACUGGACAUCGACUUAGGGAGUUACAUCCGCGUGGUAAAAAAUGAAAGAGAAUUUGAGAAAACUAUAGCAGAGUAUAUUUCUCUGAUAAGAUUUAAAUGGAUACCUGCUGUCUGAAAGGUGUUUGCGUUUAUUCGUGGGAGGUGACAGCAGCGUGUUUGGUAGGAGGUGUUGUGUUUCUAGGGCAGGGGUUGGCAAACCUGUCCUGCAAAAAGGGCCAGUGAGUAGCUGUGGCUUGUCGCUAUAUGGCAGACACGGCCAGGGACCAUAUGUCCAUGAAUGGGUGCCAACAAAACUAUUUACAAAGAUGAGCUGCCGCUUGCAUUUGGCCCAAGGGCUCCUAGUUUGCCAAGCCUUGUAACAUAGACCAUCUGAAGCCUGGCAUAUAGUUAAGAAGCCUGGCACCCCCAAAAUGCUCCCUCACUGUUUCCAAAUAGUCCCUGAGGAGGGUAAUCCACCUUGAGAACCUCCGGGAUAAAUACUUAAGAAUUGUCUUUAAUAAAGCAGAAGGAGGAGUUCCCGUCGUGGCGCGGUGGUUAACGAAUCUGACUAGGAACCAUGAGCCACAACAGGAACUCCUCUAUCAUCUUUUUUCUUCCAAAAGGACCGUGGCUUUGCUUUGCAUUCCACUCACUCGUUUCCUCAUGAUCCCUCUGGGUCUUGAGAUUUUGUGGUUUCAAAGGCUGGUGUGUUGGGAGCGGCUGGCAGUCUGGUUCUAGAGGAGGCAGUGCUAUGAGAGGCUGGGGAGGAGCGGGGAG